GACCCGUGGCACAGUGGUAGUGCGACUGCCUGCGACGCAGAAGGUUUCGGGUUCGAUUCCCGCGGGGUUA
Non-coding RNA from Phthorimaea operculella (potato tuberworm), 70 nucleotides. Lineage: Eukaryota; Metazoa; Arthropoda; Insecta; Lepidoptera; Gelechiidae. The record is from the annotation of a GenBank genome assembly.